This is a non-coding RNA of Salmo salar (Atlantic salmon), 54 nucleotides long. The record is from Rfam. Lineage: Eukaryota; Metazoa; Chordata; Actinopteri; Salmoniformes; Salmonidae.
UGCAUUCACUACUGUAAGUCGCUCUGGAUAAGAACAUCUGCUAAAUGACGUAAA